AAGUCGUAACAAGGUUUCCGUAGGUGAACCUGCGGAAGGAUCAUUAUUGAAACAAAACCUAAAAGCAGAAAGUUUGGAUCCUCAUCAUUGAGGUUCAUUCUCUUCUCUUUUUCCACCCCUUGUGCAUUUGUAAAUAUCACAAACGCUUUCCCUGAUCUCGGUCAGGGGACGAUAUAAAAAAACCACUUUUUUAAUUUACAUCCACUUGAUGUUUAUACUUACUAAAUCAUAACAAAACUUUCAACAACGGAUCUCUUGGCUU
This 262-nucleotide unclassified non-coding RNA is filed under the name fungal sp. Its description in RNAcentral is "partial internal transcribed spacer region". The stretch from base 1 to 46 matches the Rfam family "Eukaryotic small subunit ribosomal RNA", at positions 1786 to 1831 of the family's 1831-position model. The record is from RNAcentral. Lineage: Eukaryota; Fungi.